RNAcentral lists this long non-coding RNA (476 nucleotides) under Nicotiana benthamiana. Its description in RNAcentral is "long non-coding RNA (NBEN_LNC031979)". Lineage: Eukaryota; Viridiplantae; Streptophyta; Magnoliopsida; Solanales; Solanaceae. The record is from RNAcentral.
GUUCUCCGUCACUUUGAAAACCAUGAAGUGUGGUCAAUAAAAGAGAGAACCCAGUUGCUUCACCAAAGACCCUCUGAGCUGAGUUAUUAACUCCUAGGAUGCGCCAUAAAGCUCCAAAACUGUCACAUUUAGCAUCAAUCACCUGCUGAGCUGAGUUAUUAACUCCUAGGAUGCGCCAUAAAGCUCCGAAAGUGUCACAUUUAGCAUCAUUAUGAAGUGUGUACUGAGUUCCCAAAGCACUUGUAAUCAUCCCACUUUUUGAAAUGUCAACCAGUGCUCCUAAUUCCUCCGGAUGAGCCUGACAAACAGACAUCAUCAACUUUUUUGCAGCAAAUGUUCAAGCAAGACAUGAUAUAGGAUCAGAAAAUAUGUAGGCGAACCAAUCCAACUUAUAUGACUAACAAAGUACAUAACAGAUUUACAUGCCAGUAUGAAUAUAGUCCAAUACUACAGCACAAGGGAGGAACUUAUAACUA